RNAcentral lists this ribosomal RNA (457 nucleotides) under Klebsiella pneumoniae. RNAcentral describes it as "partial 23S ribosomal RNA". It matches the Rfam family "Bacterial large subunit ribosomal RNA", at positions 2367 to 2823 of the family's 2925-position model. Lineage: Bacteria; Pseudomonadati; Pseudomonadota; Gammaproteobacteria; Enterobacterales; Enterobacteriaceae. RNAcentral also lists the same sequence under 1 other name. The record is from RNAcentral.
GCUUGACUGCGAGCGUGACGGCGCGAGCAGGUGCGAAAGCAGGUCAUAGUGAUCCGGUGGUUCUGAAUGGAAGGGCCAUCGCUCAACGGAUAAAAGGUACUCCGGGGAUAACAGGCUGAUACCGCCCAAGAGUUCAUAUCGACGGCGGUGUUUGGCACCUCGAUGUCGGCUCAUCACAUCCUGGGGCUGAAGUAGGUCCCAAGGGUAUGGCUGUUCGCCAUUUAAAGUGGUACGCGAGCUGGGUUUAGAACGUCGUGAGACAGUUCGGUCCCUAUCUGCCGUGGGCGCUGGAGAAUUGAGGGGGGCUGCUCCUAGUACGAGAGGACCGGAGUGGACGCAUCACUGGUGUUCGGGUUGUCAUGCCAAUGGCACUGCCCGGUAGCUAAAUGCGGAAGAGAUAAGUGCUGAAAGCAUCUAAGCACGAAACUUGCCCCGAGAUGAGUUCUCCCUGAGACUU